AAAUCGGUUUUUUUUAAAACUACGAACCCAAAGUUGUAAACUUUCU
Glossina palpalis gambiensis is the source of this 46-nucleotide non-coding RNA. The record is from Rfam. Lineage: Eukaryota; Metazoa; Arthropoda; Insecta; Diptera; Glossinidae.